AGUGAACGCUGGCGGUAGGCCUAACACAUGCAAGUCGAACGGCAGCACAGUAAGAGCUUGCUCUUACGGGUGGCGAGUGGCGGACGGGUGAGGAAUACCUCGGCAUCUACUUUUUCGUGGGGGAUAACGUAGGGACACUUACGCUAAUACCGCAUACGACCUACGGGUGACAUCAGGGGAUCUUCGGACCUUGCGCGAUUGUAUGAGCCGAUGUCGGAUUAGCUAGUUGGCGGGGUAAAGGCCCACCAAGGCGAAGAUCCGUAGCUGGUCUGAGAGGAUGAUCAGCCACACUGGAACUGAGACACGGUCCAGACUCCUACGGGAGGCAGCAGUGGGGAAUAUUGGACAAUGGGCGCAAGCCUGAUCCAGCCAUACCGCGUGGGUGAAGAAGGCCUUCGGGUUGUAAAGCCCUUUUGUUGGGAAAGAAAAGCAGCAGGUUAAUACCCCGCUGUUCUGACGGUACCAAAAGAAUAAGCACCGGCUAACUUCGUG
This 492-nucleotide ribosomal RNA is filed under the name uncultured bacterium. RNAcentral's name for it is "partial 16S ribosomal RNA". It matches the Rfam family "Bacterial small subunit ribosomal RNA", at positions 29 to 507 of the family's 1533-position model. The record is from RNAcentral.